UUUCUCUAGUUUACUUAAUUGUAAGAAUACCGUAUAUAAUAUGUAUAUGUGUAUAUGUAUAUAUAAAUAUGUAAAAUAUGUAUUAAUUAUCUGUUUAUGUUAUUGGUAAGACUUCCAGUGAACAGUGGGCUAUGAGUAGUUUAAGUUUUUGGGGAGUCAAAAGUUAUAUUUAGCUUUUUGACUAUGCGGGAAGUCGGUGCCCCCAAACCCCACACUGUUUGAGGAUCAACUUUAUAUAUUAGUUCUCUGUGGUAUCAAUAGUAGGUUGGUUUUUCUACAUUAGCAACAAAUUCAUAAUAGUAAAUAUUCACCCUUCACUCUAGAGAUGGGAGGUUACUUCUAGGCCCUUACCGCACGUAACCCUACAGCAAUCCCUUAAGGACAUAGGUCCUGGUGCUGCAGGUGGCAGGCCAGCUUGUGAGAAUUUCAAGAAGAUAUAAAAUAUUUGAGUCUUGAAAAAAGAGUGGCGCUAAACCAUGAAUAAAAACUGCAAAAUCAAAAUUAGUAAAAAUUUAGUGAAAUACUGUUCUAAACUACCAUUACAUUAGCAACACUAAUUGUUAACACGUACUGUUAACAAACUUCCAUUACAUUUGAAAAUACUUUGUGGAUUAGGUUUUUUUUUCAUUUUGUGAGAAAUUCUGAAGUAUGUACGUUUGCCAAAGAAUCAGAGCUGAUCAUAAGCAAAAUGAGUUUUGCAUAUGUAAUUUUGAUUGUAGAUAAAAACUUUCAAAUGGUUACAGGAAGCUCAUUAAUGGGAAUGGGAAUCAUUGUAAAAAUGUUUGAAAUGUACAGGGUGGAUUUUCUUAUUUAUUUAUUGUAGAGGGGCAGGGGAGGGGCAGAGAGAGUCUUAGGCAGGGUGCACUGAGCAUGGAGCCUGACACGGGGCUCCGGCUCACGAGCCAGAGAUCAGAACCUGAGCCCAAACCUUGACUGCUUAACCACCCACACCACUCAGGUGCCCCAUUAACCUACCUUGUUUUCUCAUUCAUUCAUUCAUUCAUUCAUUUACUAAUUGGGCUCCAUGCCCAGGGUAGGGCUUGAAUUCACAACCCUGAGAUCAGGAGUCACAUGCACUACCAACUGAGCCAGCCAGGAGCCCCUACAGGGUGGAUUUUCUAGAAGAAGCCAAGGUCUGGGCCUGUGAAACUCCUAAAGUCACCCGAUUACCACCAUGCAGGAUGAGAGCUGAUUUGCCUAAGCCUGAAAAACCUUUCCUUUCUUCCCAGCCCCAAGACUAGAAGAGCAGGUAAGGGCACAGUCCCAUCUGAUGAGAACACCCCCCCGUUUCAGGUUGGUUCCUGGCACUGUUCACUCGGGGAGCUGCUCCCUCUCCACAGAGACGUCAUGGCUCCUGGUGAGGUAAUCAGGGAACCCUAUUCCUAGUUGCUUCUCUCUUAAGUUCUCUCAAAGUGGGAAAGCAAAGGUUGAGGCUGGUUGUUUGUCUGUGGCUUUGCCCCAAAUCAAGCUGACUUUCAGCCGUAGGCUACGAUAUAAUCCUAGAGGAAGUGAUUAUUUGUUUGCAAGAUCUUUGGACACUGGGAAGAGGCGUGCUAUAGGAAGCCUUGGGAACACUGCAGAGAAUGGGGAAAAGUAAAGAAGAGAACAAGAGCCUAUUGAGCACCUACUGUAUUCUGUACACUGUUAAAUCCUUUAUGUAUAUCAUAUUGUUUGGUCUUCAUAGCUGCUCUGAGAAAUAGAGAUCUCCAUUUUAUUGGAGAGCAAGGCAAAUGGUUGUUAGCGGCCAAACCUAUCCAGUUAGUGGAUGGCUUUCUAUUGCCUGAAGGGGCACCCUGUUCACUUUCUAUCACAGGGAAAAAGAAAUGUAGCUGGAGUAGAGGAGGAGGGAGAGGGAAGAGAAGGAGAGGAGAAAGAAAAACUUAAAAAAAAAAAAAAAAAGAUGAAUGUGAGAGAGCUCUGAACCUUUGCCAGUGGUUAUUAGAAGUUAAUGCUAUCUGAAGUGAGGGUAACCCCAAGAAAGACUGGAAACUAGGCACACCUUGACUCAUCUUCCAGCUUCUGGGUCACACUGGGCCAUCUAUGCCAUUUUAGGAGGAACCUAGUUUUUGGAAACUGUUUGGUAGAUUCUUGACUUAAUGCUUAUCCUGCCCAGAGACAUUGCUAUGUAAUAGGAAAAUUUCACCCAAAGUAUUGUAAGUCUCUGAACAUUUGAGAAGAGAACAUUUCUUUGCUCAGUCGGUGAUCCAGUUUCCAAGUUAGCCUUGGAAGCAGGAGGUCUCCAUUUCUUUACAGAAACAACUCUCUAAGUAUUGACUUCAGUUUCUACAGUAUUCUGUUUUUAGCUUCCUGACACACUGCUUACUGCUUUUCACUCUGGUGGAACCAGGAGGAACUCCUUCUCCCAGGCAGACCUUCCCAAUCUCUGUAGCUAUCUGACUUAAAGGUCUGAAAAGAUGUUUCAAUUUGGUUUCUCGUGGUAAAAAUGUUGAGACCUUAUUCUAAAUUUAUUUCUGGAAAUGGGUCCAUCAGCUGUCUAUUUGUUAAUGGAUUUACCGCAGUCUAGCUUGACAUCUGAGCAUAUGGGCUUUGCUCAAAAAGUAGAAAGACACAAUGACAAGGACAAAAUUCAGCUAGGGAGGAAAUGACAUUAAUAAAUUUGGAGUAUUUUUUUAAAUGUUAAAUUCGUUUGGGGUUGUUAUGAUAUGGCUAUUCGUGUCCCCUCAAAAUUCACAUGUUGAAAACUUACACCCGCCAAGGUGAUACUAUUAGGAGGUGGGGCUUUUGGGAGGUGAAUAGCACAAGAAGAUGGAACUGUCAUGAAUGGGAUCAGGGCCCUUAUAAAAGGGAUCCCAGAGAGCUCCUUCCCACUUCCACCAUGGGAGGACACAGUGAGAACUCAGCAGAAGAGGGACCACAGCAGACACCAAUCUUGGAUUUCUAAUCCCCUCAACGGUGAGCCGUAAAUCUGUUGUGUAAGCCACCAAUCUACCAUAAUUUGUUGCAGCGGCCCAAACAAACCGUGACAGGGAUAUUUGAGAUGCACUGCAUGUCAUAUUAUGGAGAACAGUAUUUCUUAAGCAGAGAAAUGGAGUAUUUCCGUAUUCAGCAUGUGAGUAAAACCAGAUCAUAGCUUUGAAUCGGAAGAACAGCUCCAUUUUUUAAUAGAUUUACCAUACAGGCAUUAUGCUGUGGGUAUUAUGAAUUUUGAAUAUGGGGAACAAAGAUUGAAUAAAGAUUUUACUUGUUUUUUUCCUAUGCCUGAGGAGUCAUUUCAUUUUCUGGGUCAGGCUGUGAGGCCAUAGAAAGCACCACCUCAGAUGUGACAAAAGUCUUAAGUCCCCCACCCUGAAGGGGAUUGUGGCUCACCAGCCAUUACCAUGGAGAAGUAAGAUACUUAAAACCUAUCUAAAUAAAAUGAAGUGACAAGAAGAAAAAAGGAAAACAAAAGCUCCACAUGGCCAAGGGAGGUUUUGUUGAUGAAGUGGAAGCUGGUCAUGGAGACACAGGAAAUUUAAUGUUCACACAGGUUUCAAUUCUGCGGCUCACUGAAGCCCCAUGGCAUGCCUAUACGGGACACAACUGUGGGCCAGGACUUGAAGAACCAUCUCAUCUCUUAGAUUUUUUCAUAGUGGCUCAUCUGUUCCCAUUUUUGAAGAUGUGGAACUUUUCCAAAAAAGCCAAACUUCAUUCCCUUGUAUAGGCUUUCUAAAGAGUUUGAUGCCAUUUUGGUAUUUUGGAUUCUCAGCUACCUAUGAGGUCUAAACAAAUCACUUUUGAGGCAAAUUCUCCUCAUGGAACAUACCCAGGUUAUCAGUCACCAGGGCCUGUCACCAGCCUCUGCUGUCUCAUCUUGUCCCUCCAGGCUGGAUGCCUCCUUCCCAAUGCUCCCCUUGCCACAUGUCUGAACAUACCACGGGUCUCUUGGAUAAAGAGCGGCUGCCUGGGGCUGGACCCUUCCUCCAUGGAAAGAAAGAGAAGCCUAUAGAAUGUCAGGGCAGGCAGCCUAACUCAGGCCUUUGUGACCUGCAUUCUCAUUUCUUUGUGAACUGCAUUCUCAUUUCUCCUUGAUGAGCAUGGUGUUGCUGGCCCCACUUGUGGAAAUAUGUGCCCGGCUCCCUGCCUUCUCCCUGCUUCAAUUUCAAGAGGGAAAAUCCCUUCUAAGAGGAAUAUUUAGAAGAUCAUAUCAUGGACUUCCUGGUACAGAAUGGUUUUGCUCCCAUUGGAUGAAAGAGUUUUUUUCCGGUUACUAUGCCCCAACCACCUUCCACCUCCCCAUUCUCCCAAUUUGCUUCUGGAUGUUUCUCUCUUACCCUGAUUUUAUUCCAGCGGGAUUAUCAAUCAAAAAUUAGAGCCCAGAAUCCAUCAGCAUUAUCAAUAAAACUUUGCAACUAUU
Long non-coding RNA from Lutra lutra (Eurasian river otter), 4354 nucleotides. RefSeq lists it as uncharacterized. NCBI's taxonomy places the organism in Eukaryota, Metazoa, Chordata, Mammalia, Carnivora, Mustelidae. The record is from RefSeq and is a predicted model, not a curated record. The transcript has 2 exons.